Molecule: non-coding RNA, 30 nt
Filed under: Mus musculus (house mouse)
Lineage: Eukaryota; Metazoa; Chordata; Mammalia; Rodentia; Muridae
Source: RNAcentral
UUCUCUUGCGCAGACUAGUUUCUGAGGGAU